This 19-nucleotide non-coding RNA is filed under the name Arabidopsis thaliana (thale cress). The record is from RNAcentral. Lineage: Eukaryota; Viridiplantae; Streptophyta; Magnoliopsida; Brassicales; Brassicaceae.
GGUGUGCAUUGGUCGGCUU